RNAcentral lists this ribosomal RNA (446 nucleotides) under uncultured Clostridium sp. RNAcentral describes it as "bacterial SSU rRNA". It matches the Rfam family "Bacterial small subunit ribosomal RNA", at positions 936 to 1382 of the family's 1533-position model. The record is from RNAcentral. Lineage: Bacteria; Bacillati; Bacillota; Clostridia; Eubacteriales; Clostridiaceae.
AGCAUGUGGUUUAAUUCGAAGCAACGACGAAGAACCUUACCUAGACUUGACAUCUCCUGAAUUUACCCGGUAACUGGGGAAGCUCUUCGGAGCAGGAAGACAGGUGGUGCAUGGUUGUCGUCAGCUCGUGUCGUGAGAUGUUGGGUUAAGUCCCGCAACGAGCGCAACCCUUAUCGUUAGUUGCUACCAUUAAGUUGAGCACUCUAGCGAGACUGCCCGGGUUAACCGGGAGGAAGGUGGGGAUGACGUCAAAUCAUCAUGCCCCUUAUGUCUAGGGCUACACACGUGCUACAAUGGUGAGGACAAAGAGACGCAAGACCGCGAGGUGGAGCAAAUCUCACAAACCUCAUCCCAGUUCGGAUUGCAGGCUGAAACUCGCCUGCAUGAAGCCGGAGUUGCUAGUGAUCGCGAAUCAGCAUGUCGCGGUGAAUACGUUCCCGGGCCUU